RNAcentral lists this ribosomal RNA (484 nucleotides) under uncultured bacterium. RNAcentral's name for it is "partial 16S ribosomal RNA". It matches the Rfam family "Bacterial small subunit ribosomal RNA", at positions 30 to 507 of the family's 1533-position model. The record is from RNAcentral.
AUUGAACGCUGGCGGCAGGCCUAACACAUGCAAGUCGAGCGGAUGAAGGGAGCUUGCUCCUGGAUUCAGCGGCGGACGGGUGAGUAAUGCCUAGGAAUCUGCCUGGUAGUGGGGGAUAACGUCCGGAAACGGGCGCUAAUACCGCAUACGUCCUGAGGGAGAAAGUGGGGGAUCUUCGGACCUCACGCUAUCAGAUGAGCCUAGAUCGGAUUAGCUAGUUGGUGGGGUAAAGGCCUACCAAGGCGACGAUCCGUAACUGGUCUGAGAGGAUGAUCAGUCACACUGGAACUGAGACACGGUCCAGACUCCUACGGGAGGCAGCAGUGGGGAAUAUUGGACAAUGGGCGAAAGCCUGAUCCAGCCAUGCCGCGUGUGUGAAGAAGGUCUUCGGAUUGUAAAGCACUUUAAGUUGGGAGGAAGGGCAGUAAGUUAAUACCUUGCUGUUUUGACGUUACCAACAGAAUAAGCACCGGCUAACUUCGUC